ACCUUAUUGGAGGUAUAACCUCGGGAACUGAGAAUAAUGCCCGAUAGAACAUUAUGCCUGGAAUGGUUUAUGUUUCAAAUGAUUUAUCGCCAUAGGAUGGGACUGCGGCCUAUCGGUUUGUUGGUGAGGUAAUGGCCCACCAAGACUAUUACAGGUACGGGCUCUGAGAGGAGUAGCCCGGAGAUGGGUACUGAGACACGGACCCAGGCCCUAUGGGGCGCAGCAGGCGAGAAAACUUUGCAAUGUGCGAAAGCACGACAAGGUUAAUCCGAGUGGUUUCUGCUAAAGAAACCUUUUGUCAGUCCUAGAAACACUGACGAAUAAGGGGUGGGCAAGUUCUGGUGUCAGCCGCCGCGGUAAAACCAGCACCUCAAGUGGUCAGGAUGAUUAUUGGGCCUAAAGCAUCCGUAGCUCGUUUUGUAAGUUUUCGGUUAAAUCCAUGCGCUUAACGUAUGGGCUGCCGGGAAUACUGCAUAACUAGGAAGUGGGAGAGGUAGACGGUACUCGGUAGGAAGGGGUAAAAUCCUUUGAUCUAUUGAUGACCACCUGUGGCGAAGGCGGUCUACCAGAACACGUUCGACGGUGAGGGAUGAAAGCUGGGGGAGCAAACCGGAUUAGAUACCCGGGUAGUCCCAGCUGUAAACUAUGCAAACUCAGUGAUGCAUUGGCUUGUGGCCAAUGCAGUGCUGCAGGGAAGCCGUUAAGUUUGCCGCCUGGGAAGUACGUACGCAAGUAUGAAACUUAAAGGAAUUGGCGGGGGAGCAC
This 765-nucleotide ribosomal RNA is filed under the name uncultured archaeon. RNAcentral describes it as "bacterial SSU rRNA". It matches the Rfam family "Archaeal small subunit ribosomal RNA", at positions 111 to 879 of the family's 1478-position model. The record is from RNAcentral.